ACGGAAGGCAGCAGUGGGGAAUAUUGCACAAUGGGGGAAACCCUGAUGCAGCGACGCCGCGUGAGUGAAGAAGUAUUUCGGUAUGUAAAGCUCUAUCAGCAGGAAAGAAAAUGACGGUACCUGACUAAGAAGCCCCGGCUAACUACGUGCCAGCAGCCGCGGUAAUACGUAGGGGGCAAGCGUUAUCCGGAUUUACUGGGUGUAAAGGGAGCGUAGACGGUAUUGCAAGUCUGAAGUGAAAGGCGGGGGCUCAACCCCUGGACUGCUUUGGAAACUGUAGUACUAGAGUGCAGGAGAGGUAAGUGGAAUUCCUAGUGUAGCGGUGAAAUGCGUAGAUAUUAGGAGGAACACCAGUGGCGAAGGCGGCUUACUGGACUGUAACUGACGUUGAGGCUCGAAAGCGUGGGGAGCAAACAGGAUUAGAUACCCUGGUA
This 434-nucleotide ribosomal RNA is filed under the name uncultured Lachnospiraceae bacterium. Its description in RNAcentral is "bacterial SSU rRNA". It matches the Rfam family "Bacterial small subunit ribosomal RNA", at positions 341 to 792 of the family's 1533-position model. The record is from RNAcentral. Lineage: Bacteria; Bacillati; Bacillota; Clostridia; Lachnospirales; Lachnospiraceae.